CUUUUAUGAUGAUAAAAAUUUUAUUCAGUUCUGCUUCUGAACCAAAGAAGGAAGACAAACUAGUUUACCAAAGCUUACUAUUAUCUGAUAC
RNAcentral lists this small nucleolar RNA (91 nucleotides) under Torulaspora delbrueckii CBS 1146. Lineage: Eukaryota; Fungi; Ascomycota; Saccharomycetes; Saccharomycetales; Saccharomycetaceae. The record is from RNAcentral.